Molecule: ribosomal RNA, 1366 nt
Filed under: uncultured bacterium
Lineage: Bacteria
Description: bacterial SSU rRNA
Rfam family: Bacterial small subunit ribosomal RNA
Source: RNAcentral
AUUGAACGCUAGCGGCAUGCUUUACACAUGCAAGUCGAACGGUAACGAAGAAAAUCUUGCUUCUCUGUCGACGAGUGACGAACGGAUGAGUAUAGCAUCGGACCGUGCCAAGUAGUGGGAGAUAACCAGACGAAAGUUUGGCUAAUACCGCGUAAGCUCCAAGGAGGAAAGUAUGGGACCUAAAUAAGGCCUUACUCUAUUUGAUCGGGCGAUGUCGGAUUAUCUAGUUGGUGGGGUAAUGGCUCACCAAGGCAAUGAUCCGCAUCGGCUAUGAGAGGACGAUCCGCCACACUGGGACUGAGACACGGCCCACCACUCCUACUGGAGGAAGCAGUGGGGAAUUUUGGACAAUGGGGGAAACCCUGAUCCAGCCAUGCCGCGUGUAUGAAGAAGGCCUUAUGGUUAUAAAGUACUUUUGUUAGGAGAGAAAAGCUAGUGUUAAAUAGAAAUUAUUGAUGACGGAACCUAAAGAAUAAGCACCGGCUAACUACGUGCCAGCAGCCGCGGUAAUACAUAGGGUGCACGCGAUAGUCGCAAUUAUUGAGGGUAAAGCGAGUGCAGACGGUUACUUAAGCCAGAUGUGAAAUCCCCAUGCUUAACUUGGGACGUGCAUUUGGAACUGUGUGACUAGAGCAUGUCAGAGGGAGGUAGAAUUCCACAUGUAGCGGUGGAAUGCGUAGAGAUGUGGAGGAAUACCGAUGGCGAAGGCAGCCUCCUGGGAUAACACUGACGUUGAGGCUCGAAAGCGUGGGGAGCAAACAGGAUUAAAUACCCUGGUAGUCCACGCCCUAAACGAUGACAUAUUAGCUGUUGAGCUUUGAAAGGCUUAGUAGCGCAGCUAACGCGAGAAAUUGUCCGCCUGGGGAGUACGGUCGCAAGAUUAAAACUCAAAGGAAUUGACGGGGACCCGCACAAGCGGUGGAUGAUGUGGAUUAAUUCGAUGCAACGCGAAGAACCUUACCUGGUCUUGGCAUGUAUGGAAUUUUUUAGAGAUAAAAAAGUUCCUUCGGGAACCGUAACACAGGUGCUGCAUGGCUGUCGUCAGCUCGUGUCGUGAGAUGUUGGGUUAAGUCCCGCAACGAGCGCAACCCUUGUCAUUAGUUGCCAUCAUUUGGUUGGGCACUCUAAUGAGACUGCCGGUGAUAAGCCGGAGGAAGGUGGGGAUGAUGUCAAGUCCUCAUGGCCCUUAUGACCAGGGCUUCACACGUCAUACAAUGGUAGGUACAGAGGGUAGCCAAGCCGUAAGGUCGAGCCAAUCUCAGAAAGCCUAUCGUAGUCCGGAUUGUAGUCUGCAACUCGCCUACAUAAAGUCGGAAUCGCUAGUAAUCGCAGAUCAGCAUGCUGCGGUGAAUACGUUCCCGGGUCU